GAUAGAUUUAGUCCGAUAGUCUUAUGCGGUAGGAUUCAGUUGCAAAUAGAUGCCCUUAGACGCCUAAGCAACUGUGAUGCCAGAGCGGGUUGCAGUCCAAAGUGGGUGGUAAACUCCAUCCAAGGCUAAAUACUGGCACGAGUCCGAUAGUGCAGUCCAAAGUGGGUGGUAAACUCCAUCAGACAAGUACAGGUUCGGUUCGACCGGAUCGUGCAACCGGGAUAGAUUUAAUCAUCGUCGACUCACGGCAGAUUAGCCCAGCGGGUGAAAUAGACAAGUACCGUGAGGGAAAGUUGAAAAGUACUCUGAAGAGAGAGUAAAUAGCACGUGAAGCCGCUUGCAGGGAAGCUAUCAGUAUCGAACCGUGAUGUACUCUGAAGAGAGAGUAAAUAGCACGUGACCGUGAGGGAAAGUUGAAAAGUACUCUGAAGUGGGCAUUCUUGUCUGCUGGGUGCGGAAUGGCAGGUGGCGGACCAUGCCCAGAGCGGGUCGCUGGGA
This 498-nucleotide ribosomal RNA is filed under the name Cornudiscoides longicirrus. RNAcentral describes it as "partial 28S ribosomal RNA". It matches the Rfam family "Eukaryotic large subunit ribosomal RNA", at positions 113 to 566 of the family's 3401-position model. The record is from RNAcentral. Lineage: Eukaryota; Metazoa; Platyhelminthes; Monogenea; Dactylogyridea; Ancylodiscoididae.